GUAUUUAUUUUUGCGGUGGGAGGUGGGAAUAUUAAUUGCAUUUUAAAAAAUACGCAAGUAUAACGGUGUUAAGACCUAUCUUAACAAGUUUAGGUAUUAGAAUACCUAAAUACCUACUUACCUAAUCUAGAUAGAUUAAGUCUCUCUAUCGUCGGUAGGUGGCACCACCUAUGAAAUGUACCUAAUUAAGGUGACAUCUACCGAAACCUUGUGUACUUGCUAUCUAAGCUUAGCCAUAUCAAUGUAUGCAAUAGUUCAUAAACAAUCCAUAGUGUGGCGCUGUACGCGACUAUAUAAGCUUCUACAUGUGUGUAGAUUAAAUCACUUUUCUCAACUAGCCUUCUGUUAACAUUAAAUAUAACUAUUGUAAUUCUCUGCUUUGAUUCGGUCUCCAUCACCUCCAACGCUGAACAUAUGGUGACCCCUAGUUUAAAUCGCGGUUAAUCUUAGUAUUCACAAGCGAAUCGCUAGUAAAUUUAGUAUAAUUUGCAAGCCGGUACGUCGAAGAAUCGCCGCGUUUCCUGAUUUAGGCCGGGAGAGCAACGUUACCACGUAGGCAGCGACCGCGUGGGGCUCCGCCGACCUGAAGAAGCUAAAGAGGUGACUAGGAGGCGACCACACCACUCGAUCGAGCGGCCUGAGCCAACGCGAAAGGCGCCGACCGAGCCACCAAAGCGGAACCACGUGCGUGGCACGCGGCCCGCAGCAGGGAACGACGACCGCAACUACCAAAGGGACCACGUGGGUGGUACCACAUCCAAGGCAGAAGGAGUGCCCAAGCGAGGGCAAUCACCAAGUAACACCACGCGCACGAGCUUCAAUCGAGAAGGCAAGUGAGCUGGCAAUUCCUAACCUAUUUACCUAAUCUCCCUACCAAAUUUAAUUGUAAUCGUUUAAUCUCCCUACCAAUUGUAAAUUGUAAUCGUUUUCUUAAUCAUGAGUAAUGACACAGAAAAAUCCAAAAUAACUCUAGGGGAGUUAGAAAUUAAACAGUUAAAAUGUAAACGAGGUGUCUAUAAGCGAAAAUUAACUAUAUUUAAGAAAUUCAUAGAAAAUAUCGACACAAGCGCAUUGACGGCCGAAAUAAUUUUAGACGUAAGCUUAAGACUAGAUCAAUUACCAAAGUUAUACCAUGAUUUCUCUGAGACACAGGACCGGAUCGAGACACUGUGCAGCGAGGAAGGUGACAUCGAGGCCCAAGAGGCCGAACGAUUUCAAAAACUUUCUAAAGAACCGAGCUGACCGGCUGGAAGCGACCAGCCCAGCAGUACCAUCGGACGCACCCAGCACUUCCAAGAAGGCCAUGGUAACCACGUCCGAACCUAUUAAGGUAACCUCAAAACAGUUUAAAUCCAACCAGUGCCCGUAUUGUUCGAGUACACAUUAUAUUAAUCAGUGUCCAAAGUUUAUUGCAUUAAACGUUAUCGCGCGAAUCCGAGCCGUGAAUAAAUUACGAUUAUGCUUUAAUUGUUUGUCCGGAACGCAUGUCUUAACAAACUGCAGGGCCAGUACUUGUCGAGUAUGUAAGGGCAAGCAUCACACGUUACUACACAAACCAAAUACCAACACUCAUGUAGGUAGUAACCCCAUACCAACGCGAUUACCAAUAUCAACAUUAAUCGACGAACAACCGAGUUCUAGUCAAAUCGAGACUACCUUGUCGAAUAACACUAUAAUCGAAAAACAAAUAAACAAUGCGCGAAAUAGAUCAGUUUUCCUCACAACAGCCCAAGUGCUCGUUAGGGAUAAGCAUAACAAUGUGCAUAAACUAAAAGCAUUUUUAGACAAUGGCUCCCAAGAAAAUUUCAUUACCCAAAAUGCGGCAAAAAGGUUAAAAUUAAAUAAGGAACAAAAUGCCUUAAACGUCAUAGGUUUCAAUGAAAAAGUGUCUAGCGUCGUAGAAUCGUGUGACGUAACAUUGCAUUCCUUAGACGGUAACUUUACAACGAAUUUGUUCUGUUUUAUUACGCCUACAAUUUGUACUACCAAUAUCGAAAUACCAAACGUGCAACGUUGGCACAUUCCGUCGCGUUAUAAGUUAGCUGAUGACGAGUUUAACUUAGCUCAAGAUAUAGAUUUGCUUAUCGGUGGGGAGAUAUUCUUCGAUUUACUACUUACCGGUAAAUAUUCGCUCGGGCCCGGAUUACCGGUUCUGAGGCGCUCGCGACUGGGAUGGUUAGUCACGGGUCCCGUACAUAAAAAAUCCGAGUCUGCUAUUCAAUGUAAAAUUACAGUUGAAACGCAAUUAAAAAAGUUUUGGGAAAUAGAGGAGGGUUCCGCACCAAAUUUACCUUAUGAUGAAAAACAAUGUGAGGAUAUAUUUCUGAAAACUCACACUCACAACUCUGAAGGUAAUUUUGAAAUUGAACUUCCAUUAAAGCAACCACCUACCAAACUAGGUCGAUCUAGGCACAUAGCAUAUCGGAGGUUCAAAACUUUAGAAACCAAGUUCGAGCGGAACCCCGAAUUUAAAGAUAAAUAUGUGAAUUUCAUGCGCGAGUUCGAACAAGCUGGCCAUAUGAUUAAAUUACGAGAUAAUUAUGAUGGCCCAUGUAAUUUUCUACCCCACCAAGCGAUUUUUCGCGACUCCCCCUCUACCCCUAUUCGCAUUGUUUUUGACUGCUCAUGCCGCACCGAUAACGGCGUUUCUUUGAAUGAUAUCCAGUACAAAGGCUCAAUAAAACAGGACGAACUCAUAAAUAUACUUCUACGGUUCCGAAAGUACCAAUAUGUUAUUAAUGCCGACAUAACCAGUAUCAUAACAGGUCAUGGACUAUUUAACAAACAUCUUUUCACAACAGGUGUCACAGACAGUCCCCUAUGCCGAGGUUGCAUGGAGACAGAAGAAACAGCCUCUCACGUGGUGCUGGAAUGCAGCGGAGUGACUCCAUACAGGGCUAAACAUCUCGGAUCUCCGAGAGACCUCCCCGAGGUCCUACUCAACAUCAAAGGUUUGAUAGGAUUCCUCGAGGAGCUGGGCUGGCAGGACUAGCCCACCCCCAACAUAUCACGCAAAAUAGGCGCAAGUCGUCGAGUUGCGGAAAAAUCGCCCGAAUACAAUACAAUACAAUACAAUGCCGACAUACAAAAAAUGUACAGAUGUAUUUAUGUGAAACCAAAUCAACAAUACCUACAAUGCAUAUUUUGGCGGGAAAAUACUCACCAACGACUCCAAAUUUAUAUGCUGACCACAUUAAGUUUCGGCUUAAAGUCAGCACCACAUAUAGCAACCAGAUGUUUGUUACAAUUGUCAAACGAGAACCAACACACGUUUCCAGCAGCUGCAGAGGCCAUAGCGAACCAGUUCUACAUGGACGAUUUUAUCGCCGGCGGCGACGACGAGAAUCAGGUAGCUGAAACUGCAACACAGGUGAACGAGAUCCUGCAGGGCGCCAACUUCACGCUGCGGAAAUGGAAGUCCAACUCCGAAGCUGUCAUAAAUCGGGUGAGCGGAACACACACACACACCAAAACACAUCUGCAAUCGAAUUUGGAGAUAAAACACAUAAGGUUCUAGGCUUAGCGUGGUCUAGUGACACAGAUAAGCUUAUGUAUACUAUUAAAGAAAACCAAAUUUCACACCCAAUCACCAAAAGAAAGGUACUAGGGGUAAUUUCGUCCAUUUUCGACCCCCUAGGCUUGACGGGACCAGUAAUUGUAGUAGCCAAAAUAUUUAUCCAAAAAUUAUUUAAGGCUCAAUUAGAUUGGGAUACCGAAUUAACACAAGACUUGAUUCAAGAAUGGAACACAUUCUAUCGAGACUUGUUUUUAUUAAACCAAUUGAAAAUUUCGAGAUGUACAGUCAUACCUAAUUAUGUAACGAUACAAAUUCAUGGGUUCUGUGAUAGUAGUAUUAAAGCUUAUGGCGCUGCUAUAUAUAUACGGUCGAGCGAUAGGGUAGGAAACAUUCAAGUUCACCUACUUUACUCAAAAUCCAAAAUUGCCCCAAUUACGUCCCAGACUAUUCCAAAUUUGGAACUUUGUUCAAGUCUACUACUCGCGACACAUGUAGACAAAGUAAAACGAGCGUUAAAAUGUGACAUUUCCAGAAUCAACCUGUGGUCAGAUUCAAAAAUAACAUUAUGUUGGAUUAAAAAUAGUAACCUUAAAUUAACUUGUUUUGUUAGUAACAGAGUCACAAAAAUAUUGUCACUUACAAACAAGCACGACUGGUCCUGGGUCCGCUCGGAGGAUAACCCCGCCGACCUUUUGUCCCGAGGAGUAGCACCAGGCAAGCUGGAAAACAACCAGUUAUGGUGGUCCGGGCCGGCGUGGUUAACUCAAAGUUCGGACACAUGGCCGACCCAGGAUUCUGAGUCACUGGAUCAUGCACCCGAAGCCAAGAGCGACGUUGAUGUAACACUCACCUUGGCUAUUAACACAAAAUCUAACGAUACGAUACAAUAUCUUUUCCACAGGUGGUCAAGCGAUAAAACACUUAUUCAUGUAUUAGCAUACAUACUUCGAUUUAUAUAUAACACAAAAAAUAAAACACGCACAAUUAAUCCAAAUAGAAAGUUAACAGGACCAUUGUCCGUAGACGAGUUAAAAAAAUCGGAUCACACAUUAAUUAGACAUGCACAAAUGCAAUCAUUCCCACACGAAUAUAAAUUGUUGCAAAACAACAAACCGGUUCUUAACAAAUCAAAAAUAUUAUCUUUACACCCAUUCAUGAAGGACGGACUCAUUCGCGUAGGCGGACGAAUCGCUCUUUCACAUUAUGCAUAUGAAAAAAAACACCCUUUAAUAUUAAGUCACGAACACACGCUUACCAAACUACUGAUGGCAAACGCACACAUACGUACUUUGCACGCUGGCCCUCAGUUAUUACUCUCAACUAUUCGCGAGCGCAUCUGGCCAACAAAGGGUAGAAUGUUAGCCUCGAAAAUUGUAAAUAAAUGCGUUCCGUGUUUUAGAGCAAAUCCAAAGACUACUAACCCUAUAAUGGGAAACUUACCCCCCUCGAGGGUAAACCCGUCUCCCCCAUUUGCUAUCACUGGUAUAGAUUAUGGAGGACCUUAUAACAUUAGAGAUAGGACAGGACGUGGUUACAAGGUCUAUAAGUGCUAUAUAGCAGUAUUUAUUUGUUUUGCAACAAAGGCAAUUCAUCUCGAAUUAAUUACAGGGCUCGAGUCGGCUAAUUUCCUGGCGGCGCUGCGACGUUUCAUAGCCAGGAGAGGUAAACCGAAGGAGUUGGACUUCUGGCGGCGCUGGUCACGUGACUACAUCGGAACGCUGCAGGAACGCACGAAAUGGAGGAGCGCGCGCGGCCCAAGCCUCGCAGCCGGCACCGUCGUCCUGGUACGAGAGGAACGCCUGCCCCCCUGCCGGUGGAGGCUGGGCAAGAUCGUCGCGACGCAGCCGGGGCGGGAUGGCGUCACCAGGGUAGCCAUCAUCCGAACCACCAGAGGAGACAUCCAACGCGCGUUCAAUAACAUUUGUCCAUUACCUACUUCGGGUCAAGUUAUAUAAAUAGUAAAUACCUACCAACCUAAUGUAACAUUCAAACAAUUAUAAUUAAGUACCUAAUAAGUAUGAUUAAGUACCUUAAAUACCUUACUUACCUAAUACCUAUGUAUAGAAUUAGAAUACCUACUCCCUAUUUAAAAUAAAAAACAUGUC
RNA transcript from Cydia pomonella (codling moth), 5622 nucleotides. RefSeq lists it as uncharacterized. The transcript is spliced from 3 exons. The record is from RefSeq and is a predicted model, not a curated record. NCBI's taxonomy places the organism in Eukaryota, Metazoa, Arthropoda, Insecta, Lepidoptera, Tortricidae.